UGCCCGGAUGUAACACAGCAACACCCUGCUCGCCAAACAACUACGAGUGAAAACUUAAAACUUAAAGGACUUGACGGUACUUCACACCCAACCUAGAGGAGCCUGUCUAUUAACCGAUAAUCCACGAUUAACCCGACCGCUUCUAGCCACCCAGCCUAUAUACCACCGUCGCCAGCCUACCUUGUAAAAGAAACAAAGUAAGCUAAACAGUAUUACACUAACACGACAGGUCAAGGUGUAACUAAUGAAACGGAUUAAGAUGGGCUACAUUCUCUAACCCAGAUCACACGAACAAGAUUAUGAAACUAAUCUUUAAAGGCGGAUUUAGCAGUAAGCUGAGAACAAAAUACUCACCUGAAACCAAUGCAAUGAAGUGCGUACACACCGCCCGUCACCCUCUGCAGUCACUUUA
This 412-nucleotide ribosomal RNA is filed under the name Uropeltis cf. ellioti. RNAcentral describes it as "partial 12S ribosomal RNA". It matches the Rfam family "Bacterial small subunit ribosomal RNA", at positions 842 to 1418 of the family's 1533-position model. The record is from RNAcentral. Lineage: Eukaryota; Metazoa; Chordata; Lepidosauria; Squamata; Uropeltidae.